AUUCUGCAAAGAUUCUGAAUAUCAGCUCUGAACUUAUCUUCACUGCCUAUGUUUAAACAACUGAUUGUCGGAUCCCCAACUCUUACAAUCAAUCAUUUAUUUUCUGAGCGAACAACUUGAGGAAGAAACAAAUUCAUUACUGCUACACAACUCUUGUCAACUGCGGGCUGGAUACUUUUCUAACAAUCACGAGAGCUCUGAAGACUAUCACUUCUGAAACUUUUCUAAUUGGCUUUCCCUCAUAACAACAACAUGAAAAUGUGGAACGUUAGGCGAUGUGCCAUAUGUGAUGGUAACAUCUCGAGUCUGGUGAAUGU
Molecule: long non-coding RNA, 317 nt
Filed under: Brassica napus (rape)
Lineage: Eukaryota; Viridiplantae; Streptophyta; Magnoliopsida; Brassicales; Brassicaceae
Description: long non-coding RNA (BNAP_LNC025378)
Source: RNAcentral